UACGGAGGGUGCGAGCGUUAAUCGGAAUUACUGGGCGUAAAGCGCGCGUAGGCGGUUAGUUAAGCUGGAUGUGAAAGCCCCGGGCUCAACCUGGGAACUGCAUUCAGAACUGGCUGGCUAGAGUACGAGAGAGGGUAGUGGAAUUUCCUGUGUAGCGGUGAAAUGCGUAGAUAUAGGAAGGAACAUCAGUGGCGAAGGCGACUGCCUGGCUCGAUACUGACGCUGAGGUGCGAAAGCGUGGGGAGCAAACAGG
This 253-nucleotide non-coding RNA is filed under the name Microbulbifer variabilis. RNAcentral's name for it is "partial 16S ribosomal RNA". It matches the Rfam family "Bacterial small subunit ribosomal RNA", at positions 524 to 776 of the family's 1533-position model. The record is from RNAcentral. Lineage: Bacteria; Pseudomonadati; Pseudomonadota; Gammaproteobacteria; Cellvibrionales; Microbulbiferaceae. RNAcentral also lists the same sequence under 2 other names.